Molecule: long non-coding RNA, 493 nt
Organism: Actinia tenebrosa (Australian red waratah sea anemone)
Lineage: Eukaryota; Metazoa; Cnidaria; Anthozoa; Actiniaria; Actiniidae
Source: RefSeq, a predicted model, not a curated record
CUCGUUUAGUGAUUGGUGGACGGUAAACCAUCUGCAAACUCCUCCAAAUAAUGUUAGGUGAAAUACGUCUCUCGCGAAAAUCCACUAGCAAUCACAACAUCUAGUUUUCCUUCUGCAAAUUGAACAUUCUGGAAUUGAAAACGUCGACGAAGAAAGAGAAAAAAGGACCCAGUCUUCACGAUGAAGAUAUCGUACUUCAGCAUUGUUUGUUUGCUGGUGACAAUUUUUGGUUCGCGAGGUUUCGCCAACGCAUACCUUGGAUGUCCUAAACCAAACCCAUGUAUAUACUAUACUGAUAAUUCAGCAAUCAAGGCCAUCGAUGUCAAUGCUUCCAGAUAUCCCAACACUAACAUACGAACCGUAGUGAAGGCACCUUCGUACGCAAUCGAUAUUGAUAUGUCCGCUGACAUGAUAUACUGGAGCGAACAGUCGCCAUCUUGGAAGAUACGUCGAAUGAACCUUAAGAAUGGGAGAAUCGAGGAUCUCAUUACUA